GAAGAAACGCAGCAGAGGGCAAAGGGCGAGGUCCAACGGCCCAGCCCCAGCAGGGGACUCUCGAGCUUCGGGAUUCCGCCUACCCGGCCACCACCUCCUUCAUGCUCCUCUGUGAUCACCUCUCCAAGUCCCGGUGUCAGGAGCCUUCUCUGUGGCCGCCCUGGAGAGACUUGAGCCUGGGACGUGACGUGCUGGGCUGUGAAGCUUUCUGAGAAGGGAAACCUGUGGCCUGACCUGCCUGAAUGCUGCACCCAACCUCAUCUCUUCCUGGGAGGCAGGCUCUCUUCGCUUGUUUUUACAAAUUUGAAACCAACAACUGUCAGCAUUGACACCAUCAGGCCUUUCUCUUCUAAUUUAACCUUGCAGCCAACCACACGGCUAUCUGUGCGGGAUCUCUCCCCAAGCUCAAGGACAUGAGAUGCGGAUCAGGCCCAAGAGGCUGGAUGCCAAACCUAUCCUCUCCAUGUGAAGCACCAACUUGGGGGUGUCAACUAAAAAUAUGAGACCCGUAAACUUGGAAAGGAAGACUUUAUUUCUUGAGAAGGGUUGCAAACUGCAGGCUGGGAAGUGGCACCUCCAGCUGAGACCACAAACAGUGGACUUUCUCAAACUGGGGUAUUGACCUCUGAUGAACCGCCAUGCAAACCCGUGCCUUUCAACAUAAAAAGAAGCCCUUCGAGGUGCUCACCUUCAAGCUUGCUAGAGGAGGAGGAAGAGCAGGUUGAGUUUGACAUAACUAGAAUGGGUUGAGCCUUUCCAGCAGAGUAAGGUUCUUUCAUGGUGGACAGUGGCCACCCACUGCCAUUUCUACAAGAAGAUUUUGCUUCUUAGGCACUGAGUUCCUGGUUCUUUCACUAGAGAAAAAUGAGUAGGUUGGCAAUCCAGUACUUCCAUCUUCUGUGAAGACCUGGGCAGGCAACGGGGGCUUGGGGGCGGGGGCAGGGACCAAAGACAAGGCUGCCAUUUGCUGUGCCCACCACAGAGGGACAUUUACUCCACCUGAAGCACAAGUAUUUUCUCAGUGAUGUUGGCUCCUACAAAGUCAAAAGGGGUAGGCUCCCUGGCUUACGCUCCAGGAGUUUGGACUGAAAGGGACACUAAAAGUGUCUUCCUCUAAGUUUAUGAUGUUGCCCUCCUCUGGCUACAACAGUGCUCUGGCCAUAAGCA
Molecule: long non-coding RNA, 1167 nt
Filed under: Homo sapiens (human)
Lineage: Eukaryota; Metazoa; Chordata; Mammalia; Primates; Hominidae
Description: long intergenic non-protein coding RNA 2965
Source: RNAcentral